GAUGAACGCUGGCGGCGUGCCUAAUACAUGCAAGUCGAGCGAACGGACGAGAAGCUUGCUGCUCGGAUGUUAGCGGCGGACGGGUGAGUAACACGUGGAUAACCUACCUAUGAGACUGGGAUAACUUCGGGACACCGGAGCUAAUACCGGAUAAUAUUUUGAACCGCAUGGUUCAAAAGUGAAAGACGAUCUUGCGGUCACUUAUAGAUGGAUCCGCGCUGCAUUAGCUAGUUGGUAAGGUAACGGCUUACCAAGGCAACGAUGCAUAGCCGAACUGAGAGGGUGAUCGGCCACACUAGAACUGAGACACGGUCCAGACUCCUACGGGAGGCAGCAGUAGGGAAUCUUCCGCAAUGGGCGAAAGCCUGACGGAGCAACGCGGCGUGAGUGAUGAAGGUCUUCGGAUCGUAAAACUCUGUUAUGAGGGAAGAACAUAUGUGUAAGUAACUGUGCACAUCUUGACGGUACCUAAUCAGAAAGCCACGGCUAACUACGUG
RNAcentral lists this ribosomal RNA (497 nucleotides) under uncultured bacterium. RNAcentral describes it as "partial 16S ribosomal RNA". It matches the Rfam family "Bacterial small subunit ribosomal RNA", at positions 28 to 507 of the family's 1533-position model. The record is from RNAcentral.